AUACGUAGGGUGCGAGCGUUGUCCGGAAUUACUGGGCGUAAAGAGCUCGUAGGUGGUUUGUCGCGUCGUCUGUGAAAUUCCGGGGCUUAACUCCGGGCGUGCAGGCGAUACGGGCAUAACUUGAGUACUGUAGGGGAGACUGGAAUUCCUGGUGUAGCGGUGAAAUGCGCAGAUAUCAGGAGGAACACCGGUGGCGAAGGCGGGUCGCUGGGCGGUAACUGACGCGGAGGAGCGAAAGCAUGGGUAGCGAACAGGAUUAGAUACCCUGGUAGUCCAUGCCGUAAACGGUGGGCGCUAGGUGUAGGGGUCUUCCACGACUUCUGUGCCGUAGCUAACGCAUUAAGCGCCCCGCCUGGGGAGUACGGCCGCAAGGCUAAAACUCAAAGGAAUUGACGGGG
Molecule: ribosomal RNA, 398 nt
Filed under: uncultured bacterium
Lineage: Bacteria
Description: partial 16S ribosomal RNA
Rfam family: Bacterial small subunit ribosomal RNA
Source: RNAcentral